RNAcentral lists this ribosomal RNA (253 nucleotides) under uncultured bacterium. Its description in RNAcentral is "partial 16S ribosomal RNA". It matches the Rfam family "Bacterial small subunit ribosomal RNA", at positions 524 to 776 of the family's 1533-position model. The record is from RNAcentral.
UACGGAGGGUGCGAGCGUUAAUCGGAAUUACUGGGCGUAAAGCGCGCGUAGGCGGUUCGAUUAGUCGGAUGUGGAAGCCCCGGGCUUAACCUGGGAACUGCAUUCGAAACUGUCGAGCUAGAGUAUGGUAGAGGGUAGUGGAAUUCCCGGUGUAGCGGUGAAAUGCGUAGAUAUCGGGAGGAACAUCAGUGGCGAAGGCGGCCCCCUGGAUCGAUACUGACGCUGAGGUGCGAAAGCGUGGGGAGCAAACAGG